This 636-nucleotide ribosomal RNA is filed under the name Serica nigroguttata. RNAcentral describes it as "eukaryotic LSU rRNA". It matches the Rfam family "Eukaryotic large subunit ribosomal RNA", at positions 663 to 1256 of the family's 3401-position model. The record is from RNAcentral. Lineage: Eukaryota; Metazoa; Arthropoda; Insecta; Coleoptera; Scarabaeidae.
GGACCAAGGAGUCUAGCAUGUGCGCGAGUCAUUGGGAUUUUUACUAAACCUAAAGGCGUAAUGAAAGUGAAGGUCCGCCUUGCGCGGACCGAGGGAGGAUGGACCGUUCCGAGGGACGGCCUCGCACUCCCGGGGCGUCUCGCUCUCAUCGCGAGAAGAGGCGCACCCAGAGCGUACACGCUGGGACCCGAAAGAUGGUGAACUAUGCCUGGUCAGGACGAAGUCAGGGGAAACCCUGAUGGAGGUCCGUAGCGAUUCUGACGUGCAAAUCGAUCGUCGGAACUGGGUAUAGGGGCGAAAGACUAAUCGAACCAUCUAGUAGCUGGUUCCCUCCGAAGUUUCCCUCAGGAUAGCUGGCGCUCGCUUCUCGCGAGUCUCAUUCGGUAAAGCGAAUGAUUAGAGGCAUUGGGGUCGAAACGGCCUCAACCUAUUCUCAAACUUUAAAUGGGUGAGAUCUCCGGCUUGCUUGAACUGUGAAGCCGCGAGAUAUCGGAUCAGAGUGCCAAGUGGGCCACUUUUGGUAAGCAGAACUGGCGCUGUGGGAUGAACCAAACGCUGAGUUAAAGCGCCUAAAUCGACGCUUAUGGGAUACCAUGAAAGGCGUUGGUAACUUAAGACAGCAGGACGGUGGCCAUG